UACAGAGGUCUCAAGCGUUGUUCGGAAUCACUGGGCGUAAAGGGUGCGUAGGCGGCGGAGUAAGUCGGGUGUGAAAUUUGAAGGCUCAACCUUCAACUAGCACUUGAUACUGCUUUGCUAGAGAUCUGAAGAGGAGCUUGGAAUUCUCGGUGUAGCAGUGAAAUGCGUAGAUUUCGAGAGGAACGCUCGCAGCGAAAAGCGAAGCUCUGGUCAGAUUCUGACGCUGAGGCACGAAGGCUAGGGGAGCGAACGGG
RNAcentral lists this ribosomal RNA (254 nucleotides) under uncultured bacterium. RNAcentral describes it as "partial 16S ribosomal RNA". It matches the Rfam family "Bacterial small subunit ribosomal RNA", at positions 524 to 776 of the family's 1533-position model. The record is from RNAcentral.